This 485-nucleotide ribosomal RNA is filed under the name uncultured bacterium. RNAcentral's name for it is "bacterial SSU rRNA". It matches the Rfam family "Bacterial small subunit ribosomal RNA", at positions 28 to 507 of the family's 1533-position model. The record is from RNAcentral.
GAUGAACGCUAGCUACAGGCUUAACACAUGCAAGUCGAGGGGCAGCACUAGGUAGCAAUACUGAGGUGGCGACCGGCGCACGGGUGCGUAACGCGUAUCCAACCUUCCCGUUACUCUUGGAUAGCCUUCCGAAAGGGAGAUUAAUACAAGAUGGUAUUCAAAUUCCGCACGUUAUUUGAAUUAAAGAUUUAUCGGUAACGGAUGGGGAUGCGUGACAUUAGAUAGUAGGCGGGGUAACGGCCCACCUAGUCUACGAUGUCUAGGGGUUCUGAGAGGAAGGUCCCCCACACUGGAACUGAGACACGGUCCAGACUCCUACGGGAGGCAGCAGUGAGGAAUAUUGGUCAAUGGUCGGAAGACUGAACCAGCCAAGUAGCGUGAAGGAUGAAGGUUCUAUGGAUUGUAAACUUCUUUUAUACGGGAAUAAAACCUCCACGUGUGGGAGCUUGUAUGUACCGUAUGAAUAAGCAUCGGCUAACUCCGUG